Cuculus canorus (common cuckoo) is the source of this 1138-nucleotide long non-coding RNA. RefSeq lists it as uncharacterized. The transcript is spliced from 3 exons. The record is from RefSeq and is a predicted model, not a curated record. NCBI's taxonomy places the organism in Eukaryota, Metazoa, Chordata, Aves, Cuculiformes, Cuculidae.
GUGUUAGAAUGAAGCCAGAGAGCUGUACAACAUAUCCCAUCUUCAAUAAUUUGCAGUGAUGUACAGAAGUUUGGCUCUACAGGUCAAAACUGCUCCUCAUCAUCAGCCAGAAGAAGCUGUUAGGUGAUUUUUAUGCUCUGGAUAGAAGCCCCCUUGCAAAAAAAAGGGUUUUGGAAACACACUGAAAAUCCUUUAAACUUUUAGACAAAACAGGCAUAGAGCUGGGAGAACAAAACUAUGCAAAACAACACACUGACUCCUAAUAGCUGACAUCUUAUUAUGUUCUGUAAAGUUCUAUAAAGGAGUUUACCAGGACUCACCAUGCCCUGAACAGUCCAUGUGGCUGCAGAGACACAGAGCAGUCACAGAAACAACUCAAUGAUCUGAAGUUGGUGCAUUUAUGUCCUUUAACUAAAACAAAGCACUGCUCAUUGUCUACUGAGGACAGUGCAUGACUGCUGGUGGUUCCUCACUUCCUGUGACAUCCAGAGAAGAACGUGAAGGUUUUUCAUCAAACUGAUUUCUACAUAAAUGGAAGCUGUCUCCCAGUCCUGCUGAAUUGCUGUUGCACAUUCGGUAAUUUCAGGAAUUGUUUGUAUGCUUAAUUUUUGGCUCCUAGUUUUGGAAAACUUGACGAAGGAAUGGCUUGCUGGAAUGGCGUCCAACCUGGAUUUUAUACAAGUAUACUGGUUUCAGCAGUCACAUUUUUCCAAUACACAUGAGCUAGCUGUUAACAUGAAGGAGGGAGACAAAUUACUUAUCACAGAAAAAUGAGCGCAAGUAGGCAGCAGAAAUGCCAGCUACUAUAUUUAGCUUAUAAUACUAAUACUGGAACGUCAUAGUUGUGCCGUCUUCCUUAAUGACAGCCCUGUGAGAUUCUAUCUAGAUUUUAUGAUCUUAUAUGGAAAGUAAUUCAGCUAUUUGUGGAGCUAAGCAGUGUACUAUGUACAAACAGUGAGGCUACUUGCGUCUGUUCUCUGUGUUAUCAGCACCAUUAAAAAGCCACAUCAGUUGAGAGGAUGUUCUGCUUUAUAGUUUCUGCUUUUAUUGUUUCUAAGGAAACCACUUAUCCAUACUCACUGUGCCUGCCACAUCCUCAAUUUACACACACUCGGGGCAAGGAAAAUAGUACAUCAGA